This 497-nucleotide ribosomal RNA is filed under the name uncultured bacterium. RNAcentral describes it as "partial 16S ribosomal RNA". It matches the Rfam family "Bacterial small subunit ribosomal RNA", at positions 28 to 507 of the family's 1533-position model. The record is from RNAcentral.
GAUGAACGCUGGCGGCGUGCCUAAUACAUGCAAGUCGAGCGAACAGAUGAGGAGCUUGCUCCUCUGACGUUAGCGGCGGACGGGUGAGUAACACGUGGAUAACCUACCUAUAAGACUGGGAUAACUUCGGGAAACCGGAGCUAAUACCGGAUAAUAUAUUGAACCGCAUGGUUCAAUAGUGAAAGACGGUUUUGCUGUCACUUAUAGAUGGAUCCGCGCCGCAUUAGCUAGUUGGUAAGGUAACGGCUUACCAAGGCAACGAUGCGCAGCCGACCUGAGUGGGUGAUCGGCCACACUGGAACUGAGACACGGUCCAGACUCCUACGGGAGGCAGCAGUAGGGAAUCUUCCGCAAUGGGCGAAAGCUUGACGGAGCAACGCCGCGUGAGUGAUGAAGGUCUUCGGAUCGUAAAACUCUGUUAUUAGGGAAGAACAAAUGUGUAAGUAACUAUGCACGUCUUGACGGUACCUAAUCAGAAAGCCACGGCUAACUACGUG